RNAcentral lists this unclassified non-coding RNA (335 nucleotides) under soil metagenome. RNAcentral's name for it is "partial contains 5.8S ribosomal RNA, internal transcribed spacer 2, and large subunit ribosomal RNA". The stretch from base 1 to 120 matches the Rfam family "5.8S ribosomal RNA", at positions 35 to 154 of the family's 154-position model. The record is from RNAcentral.
GAUGAAGAACGUAGCGAAAUGCGAUAAGUAGUGUGAAUUGCAGAAUUCAGUGAAUCAUCGAAUCUUUGAACGCACAUUGCGCCCCUUGGUAUUCCAUGGGGCAUGCCUGUUCGAGCGUCAUUUGUACCUUCAAGCUCUGCUUGGUGUUGGGUGUUUGUCUCGCCUCUGCGUGUAGACUCGCCUCAAAACAAUUGGCAGCCGGCGUAUUGAUUUCGGAGCGCAGUACAUCUCGCGCUUUGCACUCAUAACGACGACGUCCAAAAGUACAUUUUUACACUCUUGACCUCGGAUCAGGUAGGGAUACCCGCUGAACUUAAGCAUAUCAUAAGCGGAGA